Molecule: ribosomal RNA, 253 nt
Filed under: uncultured bacterium
Lineage: Bacteria
Description: partial 16S ribosomal RNA
Rfam family: Bacterial small subunit ribosomal RNA
Source: RNAcentral
UACGUAGGGUGCAAGCGUUGUCCGGAAUUAUUGGGCGUAAAGAGCUCGUAGGCGGUCUGUCGCGUCUGCUGUGAAAACCUAGGGCUUAACUCUGGGCGUGCAGUGGGUACGGGCAGGCUAGAGUGCGGUAGGGGAGACUGGAAUUCCUGGUGUAGCGGUGAAAUGCGCAGAUAUCAGGAGGAACACCUGUGGCGAAGGCGGCCCCCUGGGCCGGCCCUGACACUGAGACGCGAAGGCGUGGGGAGCGAACGGG